RNAcentral lists this ribosomal RNA (772 nucleotides) under Penicillium oxalicum. RNAcentral's name for it is "LSU rRNA". It matches the Rfam family "Eukaryotic large subunit ribosomal RNA", at positions 114 to 904 of the family's 3401-position model. The record is from RNAcentral. Lineage: Eukaryota; Fungi; Ascomycota; Eurotiomycetes; Eurotiales; Aspergillaceae.
UUUGAAAGCUGGCUCCUUCGGGGUCCGCAUUGUAAUUUGCAGAGGAUGCUUCGGGAGCGGCCCCCAUCUAAGUGCCCUGGAACGGGCCGUCAUAGAGGGUGAAAAUCCCGUCUGGGAUGGGGUGUCCGCGCCCGUGUGAAGCUCCUUCGACGAGUCGAGUUGUUUGGGAAUGCAGCUCUAAAUGGGUGGUAAAUUUCAUCUAAAGCUAAAUAUUGGCCGGAGACCGAUAGCGCACAAGUAGAGUGAUCGAAAGAUGAAAAGCACUUUGAAAAGAGAGUUAAACAGCACGUGAAAUUGUUGAAAGGGAAGCGCUUGCGACCAGACUCGCCCACGGGGUUCAGCCGGCAUUCGUGCCGGUGUACUUCCCCGCGGGCGGGCCAGCGUCGGUUUGGGCGGCCGGUCAAAGGCCCUCGGAAUGUAACGCCCCCCGGGGCGUCUUAUAGCCGAGGGUGCCAUGCGGCCAGCCCAGACCGAGGAACGCGCUUCGGCUCGGACGCUGGCAUAAUGGUCGUAAGCGACCCGUCUUGAAACACGGACCAAGGAGUCUAACAUCUACGCGAGUGUUCGGGUGUCAAACCCGUGCGCGCAGUGAAAGCGAACGGAGGUGGGAACCCCUCGGGGUGCACCAUCGACCGAUCCUGAUGUCUUCGGAUGGAUUUGAGUAUGAGCGUAGCUGUUGGGACCCGAAAGAUGGUGAACUAUGCCUGAAUAGGGUGAAGCCAGAGGAAACUCUGGUGGAGGCUCGCAGCGGUUCUGACGUGCAAAUCGAUCG